UACGUAGGGGGCAAGCGUUGUCCGGAUUUAUUGGGCGUAAAGAGCUCGUAGGUGGUUCGGUAAGUCGGAUGUGAAAUCUCCAGGCUCAACCUGGAGGGGUCAUUCGAUACUGCCGUGACUAGAGGUCGGUAGGGGAGUGUGGAAUUCCGUGGUGGAGCGGUGAAAUGCGCAGAUAUCAGGAGGAACACCCGGUAGCGAAGGCGGCACUCUGGGCCGAUACUGACACUGAGGAGCGAAAGCGUGGGGAGCGAACAGG
Molecule: ribosomal RNA, 256 nt
Filed under: uncultured bacterium
Lineage: Bacteria
Description: partial 16S ribosomal RNA
Rfam family: Bacterial small subunit ribosomal RNA
Source: RNAcentral